RNAcentral lists this ribosomal RNA (227 nucleotides) under uncultured Bacteroidaceae bacterium. RNAcentral describes it as "partial 16S ribosomal RNA". It matches the Rfam family "Bacterial small subunit ribosomal RNA", at positions 383 to 607 of the family's 1533-position model. Lineage: Bacteria; Pseudomonadati; Bacteroidota; Bacteroidia; Bacteroidales; Bacteroidaceae. The record is from RNAcentral.
CUGAACCAGCCAAGUAGCGUGAAGGAUGACUGCCCUAUGGGUUGUAAACUUCUUUUAUACGGGAAUAAAGUGAGGCACGUGUGCCUUUUUGUAUGUACCGUAUGAAUAAGGAUCGGCUAACUCCGUGCCAGCAGCCGCGGUAAUACGGAGGAUCCGAGCGUUAUCCGGAUUUAUUGGCUUUAAAGGGAGCGUAGGCGGACGCUUAAGUCAGUUGUGAAAGUUUGCGG